GAUGAACGCUGGCGGCGUGCCUAAUACAUGCAAGUCGAACGAACGCACGAGAAGCUUUCUUCUCUGAUGUUAGCGGCGGAAGGAAGAGUAACACGUGUACAACCUACCUAUAGGACAGGGAUAACUUCGUGAAAUCGUAGCUAAUACCGGAUGAUAUUUUGAACCGCAUGGUUCCAAAGUUAAAGACGCUCUUGCUGUCACUUAUAGAUGGGUCCGCGCUGCAUUAGCUAGUUGGCAAGGUAACGGCUUACCAAGGCAACGAUGCAUAGCCGACCUGAGAGGGUGAUCGGCCACACUGGAACUGAGACACGGCCCAGACUCCUACGGGAGGCAGCAGUAGGGAAUCUUCCGCAAUGGGCGAAAGCCUGACGGAGCAACGCCGCGUGAAGGAUGAAGGUCUUCGGAUCGUAAACCGCUGUUGUUAGGAAAGAACAUAUGUGUAAGUAACUGUGCAGAUCAUGACGGUACCUAAACAGUAAGCCCCGGCUAACUACGUG
This 497-nucleotide ribosomal RNA is filed under the name uncultured bacterium. RNAcentral describes it as "partial 16S ribosomal RNA". It matches the Rfam family "Bacterial small subunit ribosomal RNA", at positions 28 to 507 of the family's 1533-position model. The record is from RNAcentral.